Cercocebus atys (sooty mangabey) is the source of this 104-nucleotide small nuclear RNA. The record is from Ensembl. Lineage: Eukaryota; Metazoa; Chordata; Mammalia; Primates; Cercopithecidae.
AGAGAGGAUGCUUGCUUAGGAAAAAAGUUGGACCAGUACAGAGACGAUUAGCAUGGCCUUUGCACCAUGAUGACACGCAAAUUUAUGAAGCAAUUCCAUAUUUU